UGCUGAUUGCCCACCAGCCUCCUCACUCUCCAUUGCUGCUGGAGAUUUGCUCCAUUUCAGGCACAAUUUAGUCUCAAACCCAUUUUUCAACCCACUCCUUUUUUUUUUUGUGACUCAUUCUUUUAUUUAUUUUUUUAUUUUUUUUAGAAGCAUAAAUAUUUGUAACAAAGGAGUUUGUGUACAGUGUCGAAAAGCUACAACUUCUUGUUAAAUUCACAUUUGCACUUCUCCUUUUUAAACAAGCAUUGAUAGCCAUUAUUUUAUACAGAUAUAGUCAUGUAAAUACAUCGAGUGCAGUGGUCCGUCAGCAUUUUCCACUUCAAUGUUUUGUUUUUUUUUUACAUAAAAACAGGUUAUAAUUCCAAAGUCCGGAGUUAUUUGAAACUGGAAAAUAUUUUCUCUGUAGAAAAUAGUAAAAAUGGUAACAUUUCCCAAUAAGCCCUUUUAAGCCAAAUAUUAGCUGAAUUAUACAUAUAAAUAUUGAUUAGAUUCUGGGAUACAGAAGAAACCUAUCUUCAUCUGUUCAGAGAGCUAUGUUUUACUUGUUGUAUAAGUGAGAUUCCUAUUCAAAUUCCCCUUCACUGUUUGAUUUACAGCAGACAUUUUUCUAUAGGCUAAUCCAUAAUCUAAAAAGAUUUUAGUCUCCCCUCCUUAAAGUACAGCCAGCAUCUCCUUUCAUCAGCUUGAUACGGUACAAAUUCUUAUCCUAAUAGUGAAAUGUUUCACUAAAGCACACCCAGUGAUUGGGCAAAACCAAAACUUAUUCUGAGCCACAGUCAUCCUAGGGUCCUCCCUGCUAGGUAGCCUCCCUGGAUCUGUGGAAUGUAGUCUGAUUGUCCUUUGCUUUAUAUCUAGAAUCCACUUAUGAGCAAGUACAUACUAUGUUUGUCCUUCUGAGUCUGGGUUACCUCACUCAGGAUGAUAUUUUCUAGUUCCAUCCAUUUGCCUGCAAAUUUUAUGAUGUCAUUGUUUUUCUCUGCUGAGUAGUAUUCCAUUGUGUAUAUGUACCACAUUUUCUUAAUCCAUUCUUCAAUUGAAGGGCAUCUAGGUUGUUUCCAGGUUCUGGCUAUUACAAAUAAUGCUGCUAUGAACAUAGUUGAGCAUGUAUCUUUGUGGUAUGAUUGAGCAUUCUUUAUUGAAUGCACAGACGCAGAACUAACAGGUACAGGGGAUCAACUGGCCUUCAUAGAUGGCAUCUUGAAGAAAUGUCUUCUGGGACAUGAAGAUAGCUCCACAGGGUAAGGAUGGGAAAGUCUACAUUCUCCCCUACCAAAUCUCCAGUCAAGACCAGGGCCAGAAAGAAGCCAGCUGCUGGGGGCUGGGAAGUGUGGGAAGUGUGCUUGUACAACCUCACCGAGCUCUGCAGACUAGCUCAACAGCCUCCGACAGCCCACUGGACCCCACUGAGAUGGGAAGGGUGACGCAUCAUAAAAGCUACAUACACGCUGGUGAAGGAGAGGCCACAGAGCUGCUAAACUACUUGUGACCUGUGUGGUCCAUCCUGACCGAGCCAUCACUGAAGAGGCUGAGAUGCUGUGCGGUUUUGGCCAACUCUCGAAGCCUGACUGUAGAAGCUAAACCCCGAUUCCCUGGGUAGCAAACAGUUUUGAAAUAGGAACCCGGAAGAACCACGUGCUUCCCAGACCUCUAGCAAAAGGGCCUGCUAUCGUAUCUGUUCUCCAUGCCAGUGUCUCACGUUCUCCUUCCAAGAUGGGAGAGAAACAGGCUCUGCAAGUUUGUAUUGUUGUUGACAGGCUCCCCUUCCGAAACUCCACAGAGGGUGGGGAUAGACAGUCCCAGUGAGAAGCCCUGUGCCAAACUCCACAUCCCCUCCCCCUGCCGGCCCCCACACCCAAGCUCCAGGCAGCCAUCAAGACAAGUAACCCAUGGAGAGGGUGGCAGGGACUUGGGUUUGAUGUGCCAGCCAUAGCAUCAUGACCCAGAGAGGUAUGACAGCGAGGACAGAGGCUGAUCGGAGAAAGGACCUUGCAGCCAAGUAAAAGGCAUAGAAAGAAGCUUACCUUUCUCCUUCCCACACGUUCUCACUCUAACCUUUUCAUCCUCCUCUUCGAAAAAUGCUUUAGGAAGAACGCAAUUUCUUUUGAUAUAAGGUUUGAGAAACAUUCGAAUGAUGCCCCCUGCUGCUUCUUAUGGGGGUGGGGGGUGGGGGGAAACAAAGGAUGCUGGGCAGAUCUCCUGUCAGGAGCCAUUGAAGAGAUUUAAAACGUCUCGGGGCCUCUGAGCACGUCCCGAGACACGGAUGUCAGAAAGCGGGAUACUGAGGAAGCAAAUGUGGCCGAGCAGCAUCCUGCACGUCAGCUAACACACGAACAGAAGGAAGUGCUACAAAGCAGAGGAAGCUGCAAACAGGGAUUGGACAAAAACGAGGGAUGCAAAUGCCAGUCGACGGCAAAGAACUAGGAAAGGGAACGAAGAAGGGGUUGGAGAGGCGGCUGGGUAGCUAAGAGCGCUUGUUGCUCUUUCAGAGGCCCCGAGUUCAGCACCAAAGUCAGGCCGCUCACAACUGCUCAUAACUCCAGUUCCAGGGGAUUCGGUGACCUCUUCUGACCCCUGUAGGCACCUGCAGAUAUGCUACACGUAUACAUGAGCACUGCACAGGCACGUACACACACAAAAUAAAUAAUUAAGUAUCUGAAAGUAAAUAAAAGGAAAAACUAGCCGGGUGGUGGU
Molecule: long non-coding RNA, 2691 nt
Organism: Peromyscus californicus insignis
Lineage: Eukaryota; Metazoa; Chordata; Mammalia; Rodentia; Cricetidae
Exons: 3
Source: RefSeq, a predicted model, not a curated record